AGGGAGAUCUGGGUGAGACAUCUGUCACCUCAUUAAUUGCCAGGGUUGAUCUGACCAAUCCAGUUGGUUAGGUAGGUGCCCCCUUCCUCCUU
Molecule: small RNA, 92 nt
Filed under: Pogona vitticeps (central bearded dragon)
Lineage: Eukaryota; Metazoa; Chordata; Lepidosauria; Squamata; Agamidae
Description: 7SK RNA (ENSPVIG00000003704.1)
Rfam family: 7SK RNA
About the family: 7SK was discovered as an abundant small nuclear RNA in the mid-70s but a possible function has only recently been suggested.
Source: Rfam by way of RNAcentral